Molecule: ribosomal RNA, 663 nt
Filed under: Polylepta zonata
Lineage: Eukaryota; Metazoa; Arthropoda; Insecta; Diptera; Mycetophilidae
Description: eukaryotic LSU rRNA
Rfam family: Eukaryotic large subunit ribosomal RNA
Source: RNAcentral
AACCGCUUAGGGGUUAAACCCGAUGAACCCGAAUAUCCGAUGUGAGAAAUUCAACAUAUUAUUUUGUGCGGCUAUCGCAGUAGCCAUUAUGGAUGUGCACUUUUCUCAUAGUAGGACAUUGCGAUCCAUUGGUGUCGCCUAUCAGACGGCCCGUGCUGUUCCGUUUGUGCAGAGGCUUGCAUGUGCUUGCGCACGUGUACUGCCGAAGCGCAAUGCUAAGUACAUGCGGUGACCCGGUAGGCAGCCGAUGGAGCUGUUAUGUGAACGUGAAUCGUGCAAGUAUUCCGGUAACGGGAUGCGCCACGGCCGUGUGCAUUUAGUGUGUGCGCGGUGUAUGUGGUGGCACGUAUUCGAUCGGCAAUGCGUUAGGUUUGGGAUACCUUCGGGACCCGUCUUGAAACACGGACCAAGAAGUCUAACAUGUGUGCGAGUCAUUGGGUAUGUGAGUGUUGUCGAAACCUAAUGGCGCAAUUAAAAUGACUGGCGGCAUUGUGGUAACACGAUGUCGCGCAUGGGAUUACGCGCAGCAACGUGUGUGCUUCGGCGCACAAUUUUGAAUAGUGUGUGCUGCGCCUCCAUCCCGGGGCGUUCUGUUUGAGUGAACAUGGCGGUCGUGAGGCCGUCCGCUGUUCGGGAGCGUACCUUGAGCAUACAUGCUGUGAC